UUUCGAAUCUCAGCUUGGUAGGGAUACCCGCUGAAUUUAAGCAUAUAAUUAAGCGGAGGAAAAGAAAAUAACCAUGAUUCCCUCAGUAAGGGCGACUGAAGCGGGAAGAGCUCAUUCUGUGAAUCUGCACCCUGUGGUGCCGAGUUGUGGAAUGGAGAAGCACGUCAGCUGCAGACCCCGGUCCAAGUCUUCUGGAAAGGAGCGCUUGAAAGGGUGACAGCCCCGUAUCUGGCUGGGUGUCUGUGGCAUUAGCAUGUGCCUUCGACGAGUCGAGUUGCUUGGGAUUGCAGCUCUAAGUGGGUGGUAAAUUCCAUCUAAAGCUAAAUAUCGGUGGGAG
Molecule: ribosomal RNA, 337 nt
Filed under: Chaetoceros neogracilis
Lineage: Eukaryota; Bacillariophyta; Thalassiosirophyceae; Chaetocerotales; Chaetocerotaceae
Description: partial 28S ribosomal RNA
Rfam family: Eukaryotic large subunit ribosomal RNA
Source: RNAcentral